AGAGGGGACAGUGUUUAGCUCAUUCUGAUUUGACUCUGACCCAGGAGCUUCAUCCGCAUCACAGGCUGCACGCUCGCUCUAGCUCAUGCUUAGGGAGCCGUCAGCCUGCUGGCUGGAGGGCAAGGGGUCCUCACCGCUGGAGGGGAGGCACUCAGCGGUCAGCAGAGCAGGUGUGGGUAGGUGUUUGGAACGGAAGUAUAUGUUGCCCAGCGGAAAAAAUCAGAAGAUUCUUGAAACUUAAAGAAAAAAAAAGUAUCAAAGCCAGAAGCUUUGGCGGUGGGAGAUUCUCUUCAGCGCUUUCCCACCUCUCACAGCAGGGUGAAGGCUACGAGGUUGGCAGCUGAAGUUCAUCUAGUCUCUUGAGGAGCAGCGUGGCUAUGCGUCUCGUCCCCUGAAAUCUGCCUUUCCCUGGCAGAGGGCAGAUUUCCCGAGAUGGGCUUGAGUUCCUCUUUUUCCUCUGGUCGGGAAAUUCUGAAAGCAUGAGCAUAGAGACCCUCCCAGCAUCCAGAGUCACAAGCCAAGUGAGUGAGCGCUGGUAGGGUGGCAUCCUGUCACACCAGCAGACCCUGGCCUCGGAGUCUGUUGUUGGCAGAGAGUGAGAAGACAGGUCAAAGAAGAAACAGAAAUGCUACAAAGUCCUUGGCAAGACACUCAGUAUCACGAGUCACAAAAGAAAUGCCAACAGCAAGGAUGUACCACGUGACACCGGCAUUUAAAGAAGAGAAAGAAGAGAGCAGGUGUGAGAAUGAUGAGAAUGUGGCUUGGUGGUGGCCUGGCAUGUGCAAGGCCCUGGGUUUAACCCCCAGUACAAUAGGAAAAAGAAGCUAAACCAAGAUGGCGGGUGAGCCAGCGACAUAGGCAGGAUACACUCCAGGGACCCGGGACCUGGUCAUUGGCUGUGACCCUCUCGCAGCAGUGCCGUUCACGGCAGUUGUAGAAGGAGGAAACUCAAAUAUCCAAUGGAUACAUGCAAACUGUGGAACAUCUUCGCUGGAAUAGUGCCCACUUGUGAAAAUGAACGCGACACUGAUACGCGCUGUAGAAGAUGAACCUCGAGACAAUGUCCGGUGGAAGAAACCAGACACCAAAGGACGAAUGUCACAUGACUGCGUUUAUGAAAAGUACUCAGAACAGAUUUGGAGCCCAGCUCGUUCUCCAGUCCCUCAGCAGACUCCUGCGCGCCAAGGCCCAUUACCCAGCCCGAGCUCACACACUUUUCCUGGAUUCACUUUCCCUGUCUCUCACCUGCACUUCCUGGAUCUACGCCCACACAAGAUGCCUGUGCACACGCCCUUGCCUCAGACCUUAGGUGAACCCGAACUAAGACAUGGCAAAAGCAGAGAGUUUGAAGCCAGAGGAAAGGGAGAUGUUGCCAGACUGGGGAAGUAGCGGGUGUGGUAGCCUUGAAAGAAGCCCCUGAAAGGGAGUGGAAGGGAGAUGAUGGCUGAGGGCUAAGGGCAGAAUGAGGCAGAGACUGCGAGUGAGCACUGCUUUGGGGAAUCAGGAGAAGCUGGGAGAGGGCCCUUUCAAUUUUCAGACUUUCCCUUUCUUGAAUCCUCAUUGUGGUUGUACCCUGCCUCCAGUCCUCCACAGAGAUCUCCAGAAUCCUCUGGGAGGUGGUGUAAUCUUGUAAAUUUCCCCUGAUGACUGUUCUUACACUCAAAGGCUUGGCACGCUUCAGAAGCCUGGAUCUCCCCCUCAACAGCGUAACACAGCCCCUGGGCCCAUGCUGCGCUUGGAGGUGCUGUUGGCUGCUUUUAAGUUGGCCUUCCACAUCCACCCAGCCACCCCCAGCAGUGAGGUAAGCAGCAGCUGGUGGCAGAAAAAGAGACACAGAUAACAUAGGCGUGUGUCCCAAGUCAGUCAGGAAGCCCAUGGGGGCCUGAAACUGGGAUGCAGAAAAUAGAUCUCCCAGGUGAAGCCUCAGGCUGACAAGCUAAGCUACACGCUUCCAGAGGAGAAGGAGAAAAGGAAUUUUUCUCUCUGGUCUGUCUGGACCUAUGGUUACCAGCAGCACAGACGGAAGUGAGGAGCCAGGUGCUGUCUUACCAGGUAGAAAAUGUCCUCUGGUUGGCCUGGGCCCCACUGCUAAUGGCAGGUUCUCAGAAUUCCUGUUCUGCCUCGGGGCCUCUCAGAGUAGCUGAGGGUUGACCAAUCCUAAUUCCAAGGCAGGAGGCCAGGGGCUAGAACGGGUAAGAGGCAAGGGAGGGUAGAGAGAGUGGACGGGCUGACUUUCCCUCUUCAGGGACAAAGGACACUAGCCCUGCCUACAGGAUGACAGGGAAUGGAAGAAAAGGUGUGUAUUGUGUGUGUUUGUGUAUGUGUGUGUGUAUGUGAUAUAAAGAUAUAAAAGGCCCUUCAGGAUCAACAACAUACAUCAUCUUCAUGAAGUUAGGACAAUAAAACUGUAAAUUUUUUUUUUUAAAUUUAAAGUUUGAAUAAACAAGAAGCAGACAUAA
This is a long non-coding RNA of Meriones unguiculatus (Mongolian gerbil), 2459 nucleotides long. RefSeq lists it as uncharacterized. Lineage: Eukaryota; Metazoa; Chordata; Mammalia; Rodentia; Muridae. The record is from RefSeq and is a predicted model, not a curated record. The transcript is spliced from 4 exons.